GGCACUAGAAGCCGAUGAAGGACGUUACUAACGACGAUAUGCUUUGGGGAGCUGUAAGUAAGCUUUGAUCCAGAGAUUUCCGAAUGGGGAAACCCAGCAUGAGUUAUGUCAUGUUAUCGAUAUGUGAAUACAUAGCAUAUCAGAAGGCACACCCGGAGAACUGAAACAUCUUAGUACCCGGAGGAAGAGAAAGAAAAUUCGAUUCCCUUAGUAGCGGCGAGCGAAACGGGAAGAGCCCAAACCAACAAGCUUGCUUGUUGGGGUUGUAGGACACUCUAUACGGAGUUACAAAGGACGACAUUAGACGAAUCAUCUGGAAAGAUGAAUCAAAGAAGGUAAUAAUCCUGUAGUCGAA
Molecule: ribosomal RNA, 355 nt
Filed under: Escherichia coli
Lineage: Bacteria; Pseudomonadati; Pseudomonadota; Gammaproteobacteria; Enterobacterales; Enterobacteriaceae
Description: partial 23S ribosomal RNA
Rfam family: Bacterial large subunit ribosomal RNA
Source: RNAcentral